AUGGAGGCAGCUCUCGUCAGUGUGGCAACAGGGGUACUGAAACCCGUCCUGGGGAAGCUGACCGCCCUGCUUGGCGAUGAGUACAAGCGUUUCACGACAGUUCGCAAGGAGAUCAAGUCUCUCACUCAUGAGCUAGCUGCCAUGGAGGCUUUUCUCCUCAAGAUGUCCGAGGAUGAGGAUCCGGAUGCGCAGGAUAAGGCAUGGAUGAAUGAGGUCCGGGAGCUGUCCUACGACAUGGAGGAUGCCAUCGACGAUUUCAUGCAAAAUGUCGAUGACAAAGAUGCUAAGCCAGACGGCUUCAUGGAUAAGAUCAAGAGCUCACUGGGGAAGAUGAAGGCUAGACGUCGCAUUGGCAGCGAGAUCCACGAUUUGAAGAAGCAAAUCAUUGAGGUGGGUGAGAGGAAUGAAAGGUACAAGAGCCGCACGGCCUUCUCCAACACCAAAAAUGCAACCGUUGACCCUAGAGCUCUUUUUAUGUUUGAGCAUGCCUCAAAGCUUGUUGGAAUUGAUGAACCCAAGGCUGAGAUAAUCAAUCUGUUGACCGAAGGGGAUGGAUGUGCGUUAACGCAAGAGCAACUGAAAAUGGUCUCCAUCGUUGGAUCUGGAGGAAUGGGCAAGACAACCCUUGCAAGCCAAGUGUAUCAACAGCUCAAAGCAAAAUUUGAGUGUAAAGCUUUCGUAUCAGUGUCACGGAAUCCAGACAUGAUGAAUAUUCUAAGAACCAUUCUUAGUGAAGUUAGCUGCCAAAAUUAUGCUCACACUGAAGCAGGGAGCAUACAACAGCUGAUAAGCAAGAUCAACGAUUACAGAGCAGAGAAAAGGUACUUCAUAGUGAUUGACGAUAUAUGGGACAGUAAAACAUGGGAUGUUAUCAAGUAUGCAUUCCCCAUGAACAGAUGUGGCAGCGUGAUAAUAACCACCACACGAAUCAUUGAUGUUGCACAUUUGUGCCGUUCAUUGAUCGGUGGCCAUGUUUACAAUAUAAGACCUCUUAAUAUGGCACACUCUAGACAACUAUUUCACAGAAGAUUAUUCAGCUCUGAUGAAGAUUGUCCUUCAUACCUUGAAAAAGCUUCGAACGAAAUCCUGAAAAAAUGUGAUGGCUUGCCUUUGGCAAUCAUUGCCAUAUCUGGUCUGUUGGCUAACAUGGGAAGAACAGAGCAUUUAUGGAGCCAGGUGAAAGAUUCUAUUGGUCAUGCACUCGAAAGGAACCCUAGCGUUGAUGGAAUGAUAAAGAUAUCGUCACUUAGUUACUUUGAUCUGCCCCCUCACCUAAAAACUUGUCUCCUGUACCUCAGUAUUUUCCCAGAAGAUUCUGUUGUUAUGAGGAGAGACCUUGUAUGGAGAUGGAUUGCCGAAGGAUUUGUUCACAAAGAAGGCAAAUAUUCGGCAUAUGAAUUAGGAAAAAGGUAUUUUAAUGAGCUCGUCAAUAGGAGUCUGAUCCAACCUGUAAAGUUUAGAGGACCUUUGAGUCUGGACAAAUAUGAUAAGGUGUUUGCUUGUCGUGUUCAUGACACAAUUCUUGAUUUCAUAGUAUCCAAGUCCAUUGAAGAGAACUUUGUUACUUUCAUUGGUUCCCCCAGUGUAACUAUUGGGACACAAAGCAGAGUUCGCCGGCUGUCCAUCCAAGUUGGAGGGAAAGGAAAUUCUUUGGUGCCGACGAGCCUGAUAUUGUCCCAUGCCCGGUCACUUAAUGUUUUUGGGAAAACAGCGGAAAUCCCUUGA
RNAcentral lists this ribosomal RNA (1725 nucleotides) under Triticum aestivum (bread wheat). RNAcentral describes it as "partial small subunit ribosomal RNA". Lineage: Eukaryota; Viridiplantae; Streptophyta; Magnoliopsida; Poales; Poaceae. The record is from RNAcentral.